AUUGAACGCUGGCGGCAUGCUUUACACAUGCAAGUCGAACGGUAACAGGCCGCAAGGUGCUGACGAGUGGCGAACGGGUGAGUAAUGCAUCGGAACGUGCCCAGUCGUGGGGGAUAACUACUCGAAAGAGUAGCUAAUACCGCAUACGAUCUAUGGAUGAAAGCGGGGGACCGUAAGGCCUCGCGCGAUUGGAGCGGCCGAUGUCAGAUUAGGUAGUUGGUGGGGUAAAGGCUCACCAAGCCAACGAUCUGUAGCUGGUCUGAGAGGACGACUAGCCACACUGGGACUGAGACACGGCCCAGACUCCUACGGGAGGCAGCAGUGGGGAAUUUUGGACAAUGGGCGCAAGCCUGAUCCAGCAAUGCCGCGUGCAGGAAGAAGGCCUUCGGGUUGUAAACUGCUUUUGUACGGAACGAAACGGCUCUGGUUAAUACCCGGGGCUAAUGACGGUACCGUAAGAAUAAGCACCGGCUAACUACGUG
This 482-nucleotide ribosomal RNA is filed under the name uncultured bacterium. Its description in RNAcentral is "partial 16S ribosomal RNA". It matches the Rfam family "Bacterial small subunit ribosomal RNA", at positions 30 to 507 of the family's 1533-position model. The record is from RNAcentral.